ACGCUCGACACCUACGGGAGGCAGCAGUGGGGAAUAUUGCACAAUGGGGGAAACCCUGAUGCAGCGACGCCGCGUGAAGGAAGAAGUAUCUCGGUAUGUAAACUUCUAUCAGCAGGGAAGAAAGUGACGGUACCUGACUAAGAAGCCCCGGCUAACUACGUGGCAGCAGCCGCGGUAAUCUGAGCGGGCUGGCAAGGC
This 198-nucleotide ribosomal RNA is filed under the name uncultured bacterium. Its description in RNAcentral is "partial 16S ribosomal RNA". It matches the Rfam family "Bacterial small subunit ribosomal RNA", at positions 328 to 539 of the family's 1533-position model. The record is from RNAcentral.